GCGAACGUGGCGGAAUUGGUAGACGCGCUGGAUUCAGGUUCCAGUGGGUAACACCGUGGGGGUUCGAGUCCCCCCGUUCGCACCA
RNAcentral lists this transfer RNA (85 nucleotides) under Myxococcales bacterium. RNAcentral describes it as "tRNA-Leu". It matches the Rfam family "tRNA". From Rfam's summary of the family: Transfer RNA (tRNA) molecules are approximately 80 nucleotides in length. Their secondary structure includes four short double-helical elements and three loops (D, anti-codon, and T loops). Further hydrogen bonds mediate the characteristic L-shaped molecular structure. tRNAs have two regions of fundamental functional importance: the anti-codon, which is responsible for specific mRNA codon recognition, and the 3' end, to which the tRNAs corresponding amino acid is attached (by aminoacyl-tRNA synthetases). tRNAs cope with the degeneracy of the genetic code in two manners: having more than one tRNA (with a specific anti-codon) for a particular amino acid; and 'wobble' base-pairing, i.e. permitting non-standard base-pairing at the 3rd anti-codon position. The record is from RNAcentral. Lineage: Bacteria; Pseudomonadati; Myxococcota; Myxococcia; Myxococcales.